AGUGAACGCUGGCGGUAGGCCUAACACAUGCAAGUCGAACGGCAGCACAGUAAGAGCUUGCUCUUACGGGUGGCGAGUGGCGGGCGGGUGAGGAAUACAUCGGAAUCUACUUUUUCGUGGGGGAUAACGUAGGGAAACUUACGCUAAUACCGCAUACGACCUACGGGUGAAAGCAUGGGAUCUUCGGACCUUGCGCGAGUGAAUGAGCCGAUGUCGGAUUAGCUAGUUGGCGGGGUAAAGGCCCACCAAGGCGACGAUCCGUAGCUGGUCUGAGAGGAUGAUCAGCCACACUGGAACUGAGACACGGUCCAGACUCCUACGGGAGGCAGCAGUGGGGAAUAUUGGACAAUGGGCGCAAGCCUGAUCCAGCCAUACCGCGUGGGUGAAGAAGGCCUUCGGGUUGUAAAGCCCUUUUGUUGGGAAAGAAGAGCAGCAGGUUAAUACCUCGCUGUUCUGACGGUACCCAAAGAAUAAGCACCGGCUAACUUCGUG
RNAcentral lists this ribosomal RNA (492 nucleotides) under uncultured bacterium. Its description in RNAcentral is "partial 16S ribosomal RNA". It matches the Rfam family "Bacterial small subunit ribosomal RNA", at positions 29 to 507 of the family's 1533-position model. The record is from RNAcentral.